GAUGAACGCUGGCGGCGUGCUUAACACAUGCAAGUCGAACGGAAAGGCCAGUGCUUGCCCUGGUACUCGAGUGGCGAACGGGUGAGUAACACGUGGGUGAUCUGCCCUGCACUUCGGGAUGAGCCUGGGAAACUGGGUCUAAUACCGGAUAGGACAAUGGUUUGGAUGCCGUUGUGGAAAGUUUUUUCGGUGUGGGAUGAGCUCGCGGCCUAUCAGCUUGUUGGUGGGGUAAUGGCCUACCAAGGCGUCGACGGGUAGCCGGCCUGAGAGGGUGUACGGCCACAUUGGGACUGAGAUACGGCCCAGACUCCUACGGGAGGCAGCAGUGGGGAAGAUUGCACAAUGGGCGCAAGCCUGAUGCAGCGACGCCGCGUGGGGGAUGACGGCCUUCGGGUUGUAAACUCCUUUCGCUAGGGACGAAGCGUAUUUGUGACGGUACCUGGAGAAGAAGCACCGGCUAACUACGU
This 467-nucleotide ribosomal RNA is filed under the name uncultured bacterium. Its description in RNAcentral is "partial 16S ribosomal RNA". It matches the Rfam family "Bacterial small subunit ribosomal RNA", at positions 28 to 506 of the family's 1533-position model. The record is from RNAcentral.